UGGGGAAUAUUGGACAAUGGGCGCAAGCCUGAUCCAGCCACGCCGCGUGAGUGAUGAAGGCCUUCGGGUCGUAAAGCUCUGUGGGGAGGGACUAACCGCUGCACGUUCAUAGCGUGCAGCAUGACGGUACCUCCUUAGCAAGCACCGGCUAACUUCGUGCCAGCAGCCGCGGUAAUACGAAGGGUGCAAACGUUGCUCGGAAUUAUUGUGCGUAAAGCGCACGUAGGCGGCUUGACAAGUCGGAUGUCAAAUCCCUCGGCUCAACCAAGGAAGUGCAUCAGAAACUGUCGAGAUUGAGUACGAAAGAGGAUCACGGAAUUCCCGGUGUAGAGGUGAAAUUCGUAGAUAUAGGGAGGAACACCAGUGGGGAAGGCGGCGAGCUGGGUAGAUACUGACGCUGAGGUGAGAGAGCGUGGGGAGCAAAAA
RNAcentral lists this ribosomal RNA (426 nucleotides) under uncultured bacterium. Its description in RNAcentral is "bacterial SSU rRNA". It matches the Rfam family "Bacterial small subunit ribosomal RNA", at positions 355 to 774 of the family's 1533-position model. The record is from RNAcentral.